UACGGAGGGGGCUAGCGUUGUUCGGAAUUACUGGGCGUAAAGCGUGCGCAGGCGGUUAUGCAAGACAGAUGUGAAAUCCCCGGGCUCAACCUGGGAACUGCAUUUGUGACUGCAUAGCUAGAGUGCGGCAGAGGGAGAUGGAAUUCCGCGUGUAGCAGUGAAAUGCGUAGAUAUGCGGAGGAACACCGAUGGCGAAGGCAAUCUCCUGGGCCUGCACUGACGCUCAUGCACGAAAGCGUGGGGAGCAAACAGG
Molecule: ribosomal RNA, 253 nt
Filed under: uncultured bacterium
Lineage: Bacteria
Description: partial 16S ribosomal RNA
Rfam family: Bacterial small subunit ribosomal RNA
Source: RNAcentral